GGGCCCUUAGCUCAGUUGGCUAGAGCGCCUCGCUUGCACCGAGGAGGUCAGGAGUUCGACUCUCCUAGGGUCCACCA
This 77-nucleotide transfer RNA is filed under the name Candidatus Altimarinota bacterium. RNAcentral describes it as "tRNA-Ala". It matches the Rfam family "tRNA". Rfam says of the family: Transfer RNA (tRNA) molecules are approximately 80 nucleotides in length. Their secondary structure includes four short double-helical elements and three loops (D, anti-codon, and T loops). The record is from RNAcentral. Lineage: Bacteria; Candidatus Altimarinota.